UUCACAGUGGCUAAGUUCCGCC
This 22-nucleotide non-coding RNA is filed under the name Ophiophagus hannah (king cobra). Its record names the gene oha-miR-27a-3p. Lineage: Eukaryota; Metazoa; Chordata; Lepidosauria; Squamata; Elapidae. RNAcentral also lists the same sequence under 11 other names. The record is from miRBase by way of RNAcentral.